Molecule: long non-coding RNA, 211 nt
Filed under: Lathyrus oleraceus (garden pea)
Lineage: Eukaryota; Viridiplantae; Streptophyta; Magnoliopsida; Fabales; Fabaceae
Description: Pisum sativum (pea) long non-coding RNA (PSAT_LNC005138)
Source: RNAcentral
CUCAACCACACAUUAGAAAUUCAUGAUCUUGGACUUUUUGGAAAUGGGAGAGAAAGAUCUUCAACUUUCAUGUUGGACAAAAUUUAAUUUGAAGCUUUAUUAAUGAUGUAAACUUGAGUUGAAGUUGGUUUAAAACCUUGCCAUUUUUGGAAAUUUCAAAUUAUAGGUCACUUGCUAUUUUGGGAAAUUCUUGACCUGACUUCAAAUCCUU